UACGUAGGGGGCAAGCGUUGUCCGGAAUCAUUGGGCGUAAAGCGCGUGUAGGCGGCUUGAUAAGUCUGUUGUGAAAGUCCAGGGCUCAACCCUGGAAUGGCGAUGGAUACUGUCAAGCUCGAGUCCGGAAGAGGCGAGUGGAAUUCCUGGUGUAGCGGUGAAAUGCGCAGAUAUCAGGAGGAACACCAAUGGCGAAGGCAGCUCGCUGGGACGGUACUGACGCUGAGACGCGAAAGCGUGGGGAGCAAACAGG
This 253-nucleotide ribosomal RNA is filed under the name uncultured bacterium. Its description in RNAcentral is "partial 16S ribosomal RNA". It matches the Rfam family "Bacterial small subunit ribosomal RNA", at positions 524 to 776 of the family's 1533-position model. The record is from RNAcentral.